RNAcentral lists this ribosomal RNA (384 nucleotides) under Escherichia coli. Its description in RNAcentral is "partial 23S ribosomal RNA". It matches the Rfam family "Bacterial large subunit ribosomal RNA", at positions 1216 to 1596 of the family's 2925-position model. The record is from RNAcentral. Lineage: Bacteria; Pseudomonadati; Pseudomonadota; Gammaproteobacteria; Enterobacterales; Enterobacteriaceae.
CAGUAAUGAUGGGUAGGGGAGCUUCCCAUACGGGUUGAAGCAUGACCGUAAGGACAUGUGGACAGUAUGGGAGUGAGAAUGUUGGCAUGAGUAGCGAGAUGUGGGUGAGAAUCCCACAGGCCGUAAACCCAAGGUUUCCAGGGGAAGGUUCGUCCGCCCUGGGUUAGUCGGGACCUAAGCUGAGGCCGAAAGGCGUAGGUGAUGGACAACAGGUUGAUAUUCCUGUACUACCGAUAACCGUUUGAGAGAAGGGAUGACACAGUAGGAUAAGCUAAGCACACUGUUGGUUAUGUGUGCCCAAGCAUUGAGGCAGUCAAAGUAGGCAAAUCCGCUUUGAUAAUGCUGGGAUGUGAUGGGGAGCGAAAUUUAGUAGCGAAGUAGCUG